RNAcentral lists this long non-coding RNA (620 nucleotides) under Rattus norvegicus (Norway rat). Its description in RNAcentral is "long non-coding RNA NONRATT001348". Lineage: Eukaryota; Metazoa; Chordata; Mammalia; Rodentia; Muridae. The record is from RNAcentral.
UGCAGCCCCGGGUGUCUGCUCCCUGAUGCAGCGCUCGCGCAACCGCCUGCGCCGUCUUCCCGCAGAAAGAGAGGCGCCAAGAUCACUGGAAGGGAGCGCAAGGCGAUGAGAGUCCUGCCGGUGGUAGUUGGUGGGUUUCCGCCCUGGGACAAGAGCUGAUAGAGGGAGGGGUCCCGGGAGCCGAGGAGGAAAGGGGGAAGGGUCCAGUUUGGAAGGGUGAAAGGUGGGGGACGGGGGUUCCUGGUUGAGAGACCUCGAGUGCAGGUGUCCUGGGUGAGGGACCUUGAGUGCAGGUGUAUAGGCUCACGCCGCCCACCCCCAGGGGCCUUCCUGAUGUGUUGGACGCCUUUCUUCGUGGUGCACAUCACACGGGCGCUGUGUCCGGCUUGUUUCGUGUCCCCACGCCUGGUCAGUGCUGUCACCUGGCUGGGCUAUGUCAACAGUGCCCUCAACCCCAUCAUCUACACCAUCUUCAAUGCCGAGUUUCGAAGUGUCUUCCGCAAGACUCUUCGUCUCCGCUGCUGAAAGAACCGCUGAUGUCUUGAGGUCAAGGGGUUCCAAGCCUGUGUGCAGAGUGCGCUGGCGCGCUUUCGUUCGUCUGAUUAAAUGAAGUCUUUCCU